This is a long non-coding RNA of Amphibalanus amphitrite, 133 nucleotides long. RefSeq lists it as uncharacterized. The transcript is spliced from 2 exons. The record is from RefSeq and is a predicted model, not a curated record. NCBI's taxonomy places the organism in Eukaryota, Metazoa, Arthropoda, Thecostraca, Balanomorpha, Balanidae.
GAGGCUGGUCGUCUAAUGUGCCUCUGGAGACGUGUGCCUCUGGUUUCGUUAGCCGAUAAGCGACUCAGGGAGCACAUUUGUCGCAACGAUUGCGUGCGGAGGGCCACACGGUCCAAUACACCGAUCCGUGACG